AAUCCCCGCCCUGUUUCACUUUACCAAAUGCUGGGUUCUAUGGGGCCCGGUGGAGAGACUGAUCGUAAUGCCCUUGGAGCAGGGAAGAAAAUAAUUUAGAAAGGAGAUUCCGCCCCAGCUUGCGGUGCGGCCGAAAGGCUGUAAGGCAUCCCGGAGAGGGGAGGCAAGGCGAAAGCCAAAGCUGUAGAGUAUGGCA
Molecule: non-coding RNA, 196 nt
Filed under: unclassified sequences
Source: RNAcentral